Molecule: ribosomal RNA, 320 nt
Filed under: uncultured bacterium
Lineage: Bacteria
Description: bacterial SSU rRNA
Rfam family: Bacterial small subunit ribosomal RNA
Source: RNAcentral
AGAGUUCGAUCAUGGCUCAGAUUGAACGCUGGCGGCAGGCUUAACACAUGCAAGUCGAACGAUGAUUUCCCAGCUUGCUGGGAAUGAUUAGUGGCGGACGGGUGAGUAACAUUUAGGAAUCUACCUAGUAGUGGGGGAUAGCUCGGGGAAACUCGAAUUAAUACCGCAUACGACCUACGGGUGAAAGGGGGCGCAAGCUCUUGCUAUUAGAUGAGCCUAAAUCAGAUUAGCUAGUUGGUGGGGUAAAGGCCCACCAAGGCGACGAUCUGUAACUGGUCUGAGAGGAUGAUCAUUCACACCGGAACUGAGACACGGUCCGG